Long non-coding RNA from Salvia miltiorrhiza (redroot sage), 1270 nucleotides. RefSeq lists it as uncharacterized. NCBI's taxonomy places the organism in Eukaryota, Viridiplantae, Streptophyta, Magnoliopsida, Lamiales, Lamiaceae. The record is from RefSeq and is a predicted model, not a curated record. The transcript has 2 exons.
UCCAAUCAACACUACACCCUACACCAUACCUUGUCUUUUUAAACAACCCCCAAAAUCAGCUUUAAGCUUUAAGCCAUGCCUAAAGGCAGGCUGUCUACACUCUUUCCAGCCACCCUACCAGCCCCAAAUUUCACUUUCCAGCCAUGCCUAAGGGCAGGCUGUCAAAUUUCAUUGCUUAAGCACGUUCAAGCCAAUUUCAGUUGGCAUUCUCAAUACCCAAAAUUUUCAGACUUUCUUUUCACAGCAAGAAUUCAAGUGCAGAGCGGCCAUAGCUCGAUUCCAGCAACCAAACCAAGUUCCUAAAGGCUUUGUGGACCAAGGGGAUUAGCACUGCUUUCCCAAGACAGGUUAUGUGAUUAUGAUCUUCAGGCUUUGCCUAUCCAGGUGGGCUUACUUUCCAAAUGUACAAAGUAUGAUUGAGUUAUUAAGCUCUAAAUGUUUCAAUGAAAUGCAAAUUGUUUAUUUAAUGUAAUGAAAACUGUUUAUCCAAUAAAAUGUUUAUGUGCACUCUGCUCUGUUUAAGGCUCGCAUAAGUUAAUCGAUCGAGGUUCUCUCUUGACCUAACACGUUAUUUGAGAAUUGUGUACACCUAUUAGUUGACCUGGUGGGUUGAUCUCCAUCGGGCACUAAUCAUGUAUGAGGCGUUAUAAGGGUGCUCGACGGGAUGUGUUCCGGAGCAUUGGGUCCCAAAUGGGAACUUGGCUGGGUUACGCCCUCAGUCCAAGAAAGCGGGAGUAAUGGAUCCGUCGGUGGCUAAAAUGUCCGGGAUCACAUCGAGUAACAGAAAGGGAGUGUGACAUGUGCGCACAAAUGAAAGAAAAUGUUUUAACAUGCUUAGAAGUACUUCUUUCAAUUUAAAACCUUAUAAGUCAUGUCAAGUAUGAUUGGAUAAACUGUCUUAUUAAAAUAUGAAAUGUUUCAGAAAAUGCAUGCCCACUAAGUACAUUAGUACUUAGCCCAAAAAUACUUUCAAAUGUUUUCAGGUUGGCUGGCCGGUGCUGACGGGACGGAGCUGAGGCUAGAGUUAAAUUCCUAUGUUAGACUUCCGCUGUAGCAAUUACUCAUAUUAGUCUUUUGUUUUCCCAACUUAAGAUCUUCAUGUUAAAUUUCAAAUGAUAUACCUGACCGAGCUUAGACUCUUCACUACUUAAUUUAUGCCAAUGAAUGUCGGUUGUCAGAAGCAUGAAACAAAACUUGUGAUCCAAAGGGGCAUAGCCCGACUUUCUAUCCUAUUUCGGGUUUUUACAAGGUUGUUCCUUGUUUAUUUCUA